GAUGAACGCUGGCGGCGUGCCUAAUACAUGCAAGUCGAGCGAACGGACGAGAAGCUUGCUUCUCUGAUGUUAGCGGCGGACGGGUGAGUAACACGUGGAUAACCUACCUAUAAGACUGGGAUAACUUCGGGAAACCGGAGCUAAUACCGGAUAAUAUUUUGAACCGCAUGGUUCAAAAGUGAAAGACGGUCUUGCUGUCACUUAUAGAUGGAUCCGCGCUGCAUUAGCUAGUUGGUAAGGUAACGGCUUACCAAGGCAACGAUGCAUAGCCGACCUGAGAGGGUGAUCGGCCACACUGGAACUGAGACACGGUCCAGACUCCUACGGGAGGCAGCAGUAGGGAAUCUUCCGCAAUGGGCGAAAGCCUGACGGAGCAACGCCGCGUGAGUGAUGAAGGUCUUCGGAUCGUAAAACUCUGUUAUUAGGGAAGAACAUAUGUGUAAGUAACUGUGCACAUCUUGACGGUACCUAAUCAGAAAGCCACGGCUAACUACGUGCCAGCAGCCGCGGUAAUACGUAGGUGGCAAGCGUUAUCCGGAAUUAUUGGGCGUAAAGCGCGCGUAGGCGGUUUUUUAAGUCUGAUGUGAAAGCCCACGGCUCAACCGUGGAGGGUCAUUGGAAACUGGAAAACUUGAGUGCAGAAGAGGAAAGUGGAAUUCCAUGUGUAGCGGUGAAAUGCGCAGAGAUAUGGAGGAACACCAGUGGCGAAGGCGACUUUCUGGUCUGUAACUGACGCUGAUGUGCGAAAGCGUGGGGAUCAAACAGGAUUAGAUACCCUGGUAGUCCACGCCGUAAACGAUGAGUGCUAAGUGUUAGGGGGUUUCCGCCCCUUAGUGCUGCAGCUAACGCAUUAAGCACUCCGCCUGGGGAGUACGACCGCAAGGUUGAAACUCAAAGGAAUUGACGGGGACCCGCACAAGCGGUGGAGCAUGUGGUUUAAUUCGAAGUAACGCGAAGAACCUUACCAAAUCUUGACAUCCUUUGACAACUCUAGAGAUAGAGCCUUCCCCUUCGGGGGACAAAGUGACAGGUGGUGCAUGGUUGUCGUCAGCUCGUGUCGUGAGAUGUUGGGUUAAGUCCCGCAACGAGCGCAACCCUUAAGCUUAGUUGCCAUCAUUAAGUUGGGCACUCUAAGUUGACUGCCGGUGACAAACCGGAGGAAGGUGGGGAUGACGUCAAAUCAUCAUGCCCCUUAUGAUUUGGGCUACACACGUGCUACAAUGGACAAUACAAAGGGCAGCGAAACCGCGAGGUCAAGCAAAUCCCAUAAAGUUGUUCUCAGUUCGGAUUGUGGUCUGCAACUCGACUACAUGAAGCUGGAAUCGCUAGUAAUCGUAGAUCAGCAUGCUACGGUGAAUACGUUCCCGGGUCU
This 1372-nucleotide ribosomal RNA is filed under the name uncultured bacterium. RNAcentral describes it as "bacterial SSU rRNA". It matches the Rfam family "Bacterial small subunit ribosomal RNA", at positions 28 to 1381 of the family's 1533-position model. The record is from RNAcentral.